GAAGGGGGCUAGCGUUGCUCGGAAUUACUGGGCGUAAGGGGCGCGUAGGCGGUACAGUUUAGUCAGAGGUGAAAGCCCCAGGGCUCAACCUUGGAAUUGCCUUUGAUACUGACUGUCUUGAGUACGGGAGAGGUGUGUGGAACUCCGAGUGUAGAGGUGAAAUUCGUAGAUAUUCGGAAGAACACCAGUGGCGAAGGCGACACACUGGCCCGUUACUGACGCUGAGGCGCGAAAGCGUGGGGAGCAAACAGGAUAGAUACCCUGGUAGUCCACGCCGUAAACGAUGAGUGCUAGUUGUCGGCAUGCAUGCAUGUCGGUGACGCAGCUAACGCAUUAAGCACUCCGCCUGGGGAGUACGGUCGCAAGAUUAA
RNAcentral lists this ribosomal RNA (371 nucleotides) under uncultured organism. RNAcentral's name for it is "bacterial SSU rRNA". It matches the Rfam family "Bacterial small subunit ribosomal RNA", at positions 527 to 897 of the family's 1533-position model. The record is from RNAcentral.